Cydia strobilella is the source of this 1132-nucleotide RNA transcript. RefSeq lists it as uncharacterized. The transcript has 4 exons. The record is from RefSeq and is a predicted model, not a curated record. Lineage: Eukaryota; Metazoa; Arthropoda; Insecta; Lepidoptera; Tortricidae.
AGUUGUUGUCACACAAAUGUCAGGCGUUCGAAAGCGUGGAAUGCAACAAAAUUUCCAAUGAAAUUAUACUUUUAUUUCACAAGCUGUCUAGAUUAAUUUGGCCAACACUUAUGCCUGCUAACAACAGAGAAUGGGACUGGACUGCUAUAGCGGGUGCGCUCCUGGCGUUCACGCUGCCGCUGAGCCUGCUGGUGCCCGACUUCUCGUUGUGGAUGGUAGUUCCUAAAGUGCAAGUGACUCGUUUCCACAUACUCGCUCAGCACCUCACUUGGUCGCAGUUAAAUACUGCCAUUACUGCCCUUGUAUUGUUGCUGUUUUUUAUUCAUCUUGAGAUAAGAAAGCGAAAGUUGGAUGAAAUGGUAGAGCGGGUGAUGUUAGUAAGCGAAGCAGCGGACAAGACAGUAGAAGAGGAGAGCGGUAAGCAGGCGGGGGCCAUGCGCGCGUGCGUCGAGCUACUAGACACAGCUGCCGAACAGUACGAGCACCUGGUACUACUGCGUCAAGAGCUAGGCCAGCCACAGCGCAAGCAGGGCCCGCCGGGCGUUGACAGCUCGCAAGACAUUAACGAAUAGCUUGCGAACGGCGAGGUAGCAUGUAACGCCGAAGACAGCGUGUCGCGAGGCAGGCCGUUAGCCGCGCGACAAGCCCAAGGCCGGAGGCGCGUCGUUUUUAUCUGCUCUACGCCGCGCUCGCUCGACCGUGUAAUUGGAUGAGAACGGCGCGAUCCCAAUAGCGCGCCCUUAUCUGUUCGCGGCAAAUCCACCCCCGCCUGCUACCCCUUCGCACCCCCGCGACGCCCGCCGACGCUCCGGCAAUAAGUUUUUAAUAACACAGGUUCUUAAAAGUGCGCAAUCGAUAGAAAAAUAGAAGAUAGGAUUGCGAGGGCCGGAUACAAAGCGGGAUGCUGCGAAUUGUCGUCGUAUUAGCCGGUAUCAGAUGGGCGCGCUCCUGCCUCCCCAUUGCCUACAUGCUGCCCACUGCCCGCUGCUGCCCUGCGUUGCCACGGUCCCGGUUAUCGGCGCUAAGCCUGCUUUACAGCGAGUACCUAUUCGUCGAGAAAAUGCACGGAACCGCUUCUAUUCUUAACCGAAUAUAAUAUAUCUUCUAGGUAUAGCGCAGACAUCUGGGAAAG